AAUAACCAAAUAUAACACUUGGGUUAAGUGUUAUGUUUGUAAUUUUUCUUACAUCUCCACCGCCGGGAGCCCAGGUAUCAUAUACACCACCGAAAUACAAAGCCUUGAGCACUAGGAGGAAAGCGCCAGCACCUAGCAAGAUUAGGUGAAUACCCAAAAUUGUGGUCAUUUUGUUCCUAUCUUUCCA
The sequence is an antisense RNA, 187 nucleotides long. It matches the Rfam family "Antisense RNA which regulates isiA expression".